This is a long non-coding RNA of Dreissena polymorpha, 980 nucleotides long. RefSeq lists it as uncharacterized. The record is from RefSeq and is a predicted model, not a curated record. NCBI's taxonomy places the organism in Eukaryota, Metazoa, Mollusca, Bivalvia, Myida, Dreissenidae. The transcript has 2 exons.
CUUGAGGCUGGAAAUAAAUGUGGCAUCAAUUCAACGAUAAAUGCAAGUUUGAAUGUGUAGUGUUUAGAAAGACACAAGAAGGCCACAACUGUGUUCACAGAUAUGCAGAUGAAGGCCACAACUGUGUUCACAGAUGUACAGACCGCCAGACGGAUAGUGCUAAAUGAUUAUUCCAAACAAACAGAUUACCUGAAGGACAGUGGAUGUACAGACAUACAGAUGACCUGAAGGACAGUGGAUGUACAGACAUACAGAUUACCUGAAGGACAGUGGAUGUACAGACAUACAGAUUACCUGAAGGACAGUGGAUGUACAGACAUACAGAUGACCUGAAGGACAGUGGAUGUACAGACAUACAGAUUACCUGAAGGACAGUGGAUGUACAGACAUACAGAUGACCUGAAGAACAGUGGACGUACAGACAUACAGAUUACCUAAGGACAGUGGAUGUACAGACAUACAGAUUACCUGAAGGACAGUGGAUUUACAGACAUACAGAUUACCUGAAGGACAGUGGAUGUACAGACAUACAGAUUACCUGAAGGACAGUGGAUGUACAGACAUACAGAUUACCUGAAGGACAGUGGAUGUACAGACAUACAGAUUACCUGAAGGACAGUGGAUGUACAGACAUACAGAUUACCUGAAGGACAGUGGAUGUACAGACAUACAGAUUACCUGAAGGACAGUGGAUGUACAGACAUACAGAUUACCUCAAGGACAUUGGAUGUACAGACAUACAGAUUACCUGAAGGACAGUGGAUGUACAGACAUACAGAUUACCUCAAGGACAGUGUUAAAUCAGUUUUUCCCAGAAAAGUCUUUGCAAGUGAAUAAUUAAUCUGCGUUCUGGAAAAACUGGGCGUGAUGCAUGUUUUUUUUUUGCUUUUAUGGAAUUUACGUUUUACCCUUUGGAUAUGUAUUUUGAUGCAUUUGUUGUUACUUAGAAAGUCAAAUUUAAUUAAAGACUUCUUACUAUA